GUCUUCUUAGCUCAGUGGUAGAGCGUUGGUCUCGUAAACCAAAGAUCGUGAGUUCAAUCCUCUCAGGAGGCA
This 72-nucleotide transfer RNA is filed under the name Daphnia pulicaria. Its description in RNAcentral is "tRNA-Thr". It matches the Rfam family "tRNA". Rfam says of the family: Transfer RNA (tRNA) molecules are approximately 80 nucleotides in length. Their secondary structure includes four short double-helical elements and three loops (D, anti-codon, and T loops). Further hydrogen bonds mediate the characteristic L-shaped molecular structure. tRNAs have two regions of fundamental functional importance: the anti-codon, which is responsible for specific mRNA codon recognition, and the 3' end, to which the tRNAs corresponding amino acid is attached (by aminoacyl-tRNA synthetases). tRNAs cope with the degeneracy of the genetic code in two manners: having more than one tRNA (with a specific anti-codon) for a particular amino acid; and 'wobble' base-pairing, i.e. permitting non-standard base-pairing at the 3rd anti-codon position. Lineage: Eukaryota; Metazoa; Arthropoda; Branchiopoda; Diplostraca; Daphniidae. The record is from RNAcentral.